Long non-coding RNA from Oncorhynchus tshawytscha (Chinook salmon), 383 nucleotides. RefSeq lists it as uncharacterized. NCBI's taxonomy places the organism in Eukaryota, Metazoa, Chordata, Actinopteri, Salmoniformes, Salmonidae. The record is from RefSeq and is a predicted model, not a curated record. The transcript is spliced from 3 exons.
UGUUAGGUUAAGUUCAGGUAUAGCUUCACUGAGGUUUGGGUUAAUGUUAGGUUAAGUUCAGGUAUAGCUUCACUGAGGUUUGGGUUAAUGUUAGGUUAAGUUCAGGUAUAGCUUCACUGAGGUUUGGGUUAAUGUUAGGUUAAGUUCAGGUAUAGCUUCACUGAGGUUUGGGUUAAUGUUAGGUUAAGUUCAGGUAUAGCUUCACUGAGGUUUGGGUUAAGGUUAGGUUAAGUUCAGGUAUAGCUUCACUGAGGUUUGGGUUAAGGUUAGGUUAAGUUCAGGUAUAGCUUCACUGAGGUUUGGGUUAAUGUUAGGUUAAGUUCAGGUAUAGCUUCACUGAGGUUUGGGUUAAUGUUAGGUUAAGUUCAGGUAUAGCUUCACUG